This 326-nucleotide ribosomal RNA is filed under the name uncultured Pseudomonas sp. Its description in RNAcentral is "bacterial SSU rRNA". It matches the Rfam family "Bacterial small subunit ribosomal RNA", at positions 1058 to 1382 of the family's 1533-position model. Lineage: Bacteria; Pseudomonadati; Pseudomonadota; Gammaproteobacteria; Pseudomonadales; Pseudomonadaceae. The record is from RNAcentral.
GCUCGUGUCGUGAGAUGUUGGGUUAAGUCCCGCAACGAGCGCAACCCUCGCCCCUAGUUACCAGCACGUUAUGGUGGGCACUCUAAGGAGACUGCCGGGUGACAAACCGGAGGAAGGUGGGGAUGACGUCAAGUCAUCAUGGCCCUUACGGCCUGGGCUACACACGUGCUACAAUGGUCGGUACAAAGGGUUGCCAAGCCGCGAGGUGGAGCUAAUCCCAUAAAACCGAUCGUAGUCCGGAUCGCAGUCUGUAACUCGACUGCGUGAAGUCGGAAUCGCUAGUAAUCGUGAAUCAGAAUGUCACGGUGAAUACGUUCCCGGGCCUU